RNAcentral lists this transfer RNA (73 nucleotides) under Paramuricea clavata. It matches the Rfam family "tRNA". From Rfam's summary of the family: Transfer RNA (tRNA) molecules are approximately 80 nucleotides in length. Their secondary structure includes four short double-helical elements and three loops (D, anti-codon, and T loops). Further hydrogen bonds mediate the characteristic L-shaped molecular structure. tRNAs have two regions of fundamental functional importance: the anti-codon, which is responsible for specific mRNA codon recognition, and the 3' end, to which the tRNAs corresponding amino acid is attached (by aminoacyl-tRNA synthetases). tRNAs cope with the degeneracy of the genetic code in two manners: having more than one tRNA (with a specific anti-codon) for a particular amino acid; and 'wobble' base-pairing, i.e. permitting non-standard base-pairing at the 3rd anti-codon position. The record is from Rfam by way of RNAcentral. Lineage: Eukaryota; Metazoa; Cnidaria; Anthozoa; Malacalcyonacea; Plexauridae.
GACCGCAUAGCUCAGUUGGCAGAGCAUUGGGCUAGUAUUCCAAAGGUCGUAGGUUCGAUUCCCACCGUGGCCA